RNAcentral lists this ribosomal RNA (396 nucleotides) under uncultured bacterium. RNAcentral describes it as "bacterial SSU rRNA". It matches the Rfam family "Bacterial small subunit ribosomal RNA", at positions 30 to 426 of the family's 1533-position model. The record is from RNAcentral.
AUUGAACGCUGGCGGCAUGCCUUACACAUGCAAGUCGAACGGCAGCACGGGAGCAAUCCUGGUGGCGAGUGGCGAACGGGUGAGUAAUAUAUCGGAACGUGCCCGGUCGUGGGGGAUAACGUAGCGAAAGCUACGCUAAUACCGCAUACGAUCUACGGAUGAAAGCGGGGGGAUCGCAAGACCUCAUGCUCAUGGAGCGGCCGAUAUCUGAUUAGCUAGUUGGUGGGGUAAAGGCCUACCAAGGCAUCGAUCAGUAGCUGGUCUGAGAGGACGACCAGCCACACUGGAACUGAGACACGGUCCAGACUCCUACGGGAGGCAGCAGUGGGGAAUUUUGGACAAUGGGGGNAACCCUGAUCCAGCAAUGCCGCGUGAGUGAAGAAGGCCUUCGGUUGG